UCUUCCUUCUCCUUCUAGCUAUCUCGUUUUGAUCGGUGGAGGAAGAUUUGAAGGUGUUUGAGACUGUGAACAGUACCGUGAACAGACGUACUGAGCCCUCGAGCGAGGAGGACACAGGCAGGCAGCAGGGUUAGCUGCGGGAUUCACUUUUUUGGCGCAUGCAUUUCAGAUUAGCAGAGAUUGCGUCCAGGCUCAAGGACUUUGGGAAUCAGCGCUUCCGUUUUUGUCCGUAG
RNAcentral lists this long non-coding RNA (233 nucleotides) under Rosa chinensis. RNAcentral's name for it is "sRNA RchiOBHm_Chr4g0432991". Lineage: Eukaryota; Viridiplantae; Streptophyta; Magnoliopsida; Rosales; Rosaceae. The record is from RNAcentral.